AUUCAAUCGUACGAUAUAAUCCUUGAAAACAUUGGACCAAAAGUGCAUCUUUCCUAAACAACAAAAUAUCAUACGAAAGAGAGCAAAAU
Long non-coding RNA from Hibiscus syriacus, 89 nucleotides. RefSeq lists it as uncharacterized. NCBI's taxonomy places the organism in Eukaryota, Viridiplantae, Streptophyta, Magnoliopsida, Malvales, Malvaceae. The transcript has 3 exons. The record is from RefSeq and is a predicted model, not a curated record.